This 443-nucleotide ribosomal RNA is filed under the name uncultured bacterium. Its description in RNAcentral is "partial 16S ribosomal RNA". It matches the Rfam family "Bacterial small subunit ribosomal RNA", at positions 338 to 795 of the family's 1533-position model. The record is from RNAcentral.
CCUACGGGUGGCAGCAGUGGGGAAUAUUGGGCAAUGGACGAAACUCUGACCCAGCAACGCCGCGUGAAUGAUGAAGGUCUUCGGAUUGUAAAGUUCUUUUCGAAGGGAAGAAGAAAGUGACGGUACCUUAGGAAUAAGCCUCGGCUAACUACGUGCCAGCAGCCGCGUUAAUACGUAGGAGGCGAGCGUUAUCCGGAAUGACUGGGCGUAAGGGGUGCGUAGGUGGUUCGGCAAGUUAGUGGGGAAAGUCCAAGGCUCAACCGUGGAACUGCUACUGAAACUGUUGAACGUGAGUGCAGGAGAGGAAAGCGGAAUUCCUAGUGUAGCGGUGGAAUGCGUAGAUAUUAGGAAGAACACCAGUGGCGAAGGCGGGUUGCUGGACUGUAACUGACGCUGAGGCACGAAAGCGUGGGGAGCGAACAGGAUUAGAUACCCCUGUAGUC